GAAGCAUUACAUAUCUAAAGCCUAAAACCAAGAUUAUGUAAGAGAAUACUUGAACUUCCGGCGAGACAUAAGAAUCUUGAACUCGGCACUAAUGAUUGCACUUUGAAGAGAAGAACAAAACAAACUCCAACUUAAAGGAUAGAACCAGGUAAGUAACUCUGAGGCAAACCUGAAAAUCAUUUAUCCAUAGAACCAUAAAGAAAGUUGGUGAAGAACUCAAAAGACG
This 226-nucleotide long non-coding RNA is filed under the name Brassica rapa (field mustard). Its description in RNAcentral is "long non-coding RNA (BRAP_LNC000365)". The record is from RNAcentral. Lineage: Eukaryota; Viridiplantae; Streptophyta; Magnoliopsida; Brassicales; Brassicaceae.